Molecule: ribosomal RNA, 252 nt
Filed under: uncultured Bacteroidales bacterium
Lineage: Bacteria; Pseudomonadati; Bacteroidota; Bacteroidia; Bacteroidales
Description: partial 16S ribosomal RNA
Rfam family: Bacterial small subunit ribosomal RNA
Source: RNAcentral
UACGGAGGAUCCGAGCGUUAUCCGGAUUUAUUGGGUUUAAAGGGUGCGUAGGCGGCGAGUUAAGUCAGCGGUAAAAGCCCGGGGCUCAACCCCGGCCCGCCGUUGAAACUGGGGAUCUAGAGUGUGCGAGAGGUAUGCGGAAUGCGUGGUGUAGCGGUGAAAUGCAUAGAUAUCACGCAGAACCCCGAUUGCGAAGGCAGCAUACCGGUGCACAACUGACGCUCAGGCACGAAAGCGUGGGGAGCAAAUAGG